RNAcentral lists this transfer RNA (69 nucleotides) under Phaonia errans. Its description in RNAcentral is "tRNA-Trp". It matches the Rfam family "tRNA". From Rfam's summary of the family: Transfer RNA (tRNA) molecules are approximately 80 nucleotides in length. Lineage: Eukaryota; Metazoa; Arthropoda; Insecta; Diptera; Muscidae. The record is from RNAcentral.
AAGGCUUUAAGUUAAAUAAACUAAUAGCCUUCAAAGCUAUAAAUAUAAGAAUAGCCCUUUUAAGCUUUA